Paramuricea clavata is the source of this 231-nucleotide non-coding RNA. The record is from the annotation of a GenBank genome assembly. NCBI's taxonomy places the organism in Eukaryota, Metazoa, Cnidaria, Anthozoa, Malacalcyonacea, Plexauridae.
ACCAUUUUGACAGGAUGUGUAGACUUUGAUACAAGUAUGAAUAUCAGAUAUGGAGGCAUCUGUGAAAUUAACGUUUAUGGCCAAACAUUUGGAAUUUCUGACAUUUUGUUAUAAAUUUCCAUUACUGAUAGAAAUUUUAAAAUUCCAAGGUAGCUCACAGAAAAAAACUAGUUGUAUGGUUGAAACGUACACAAAAAACUGUCUAUAGAACAUUAAAGCGUUUUUUAUUUU